This 2558-nucleotide unclassified non-coding RNA is filed under the name Pectinophora gossypiella (pink bollworm). Its description in RNAcentral is "zinc finger protein 729-like". The record is from RNAcentral. Lineage: Eukaryota; Metazoa; Arthropoda; Insecta; Lepidoptera; Gelechiidae.
CCCAAAAUCAAUCAACAAACGAUGGGAACGGCUUUUCUGCACUAAAAUUCAUAAUUUCAAAUUUUAUUAUAAAUAUAAGUAAUAUGUAGUGAUGGUAUUUGCGUGUGAAUAAACUAAUUAAGAUGUCCGACUUGAAAAUUUGUAGAAUUUGCCUUAGAACUCAGUGCAAAGUGUACAGAUUUGACCGAUAUCAACUCAAACAUUAUUAUGAAGAAGUUACUGCCGUAAAAGUAAAUGACAAGGAUGGUCUUCCACACUUCUUCUGCUACGAGUGCGCCACCAUGCUGCAUAAGUUCCACAAGUUUAAGGAGAAGUGUUACAAUGGACAGAAUACUCUCAAAGAGAUUGGUUGGAGAGGUCCAAUUACAUACGAAGCCAUUUACAAAAUAGACAGAGCGUUGAGACAACUUAAAUCACCGUUGGAAAUACUCACCGUUACUAAAAGAGUUAAAACCUACGUCACAACGGAUAUUGCAGAAGCUAGUAACUCUGAAUCCGAGUCCAUACAUGCUGAGGAUGAGAAGGAAAUCAAUAUUAAAGACAUUGAAGACUGUAAAGAUGUCUUCUUAGAUGAAGGAUCCAUAGCCGAUGACAAUUUUGAUUCAGAAUGCAUUGCUAUUGACGAAGAUUCCAAAAAUAUCUUAUUAGCAAAUGACGUCUCUACAGAAGUCGAUAAAAAAAUGGAUUUUUUUAUUAAUAAUUCCCAAACUAGAAGGAAAGACAAAGAAACGCCAAUACCAAGUCCAAAGACGGUCUUUGUUGAUAUAAAAAAAGAUGUGAUAACAUUGAAAAAUGAACCUUUCAAAGAAAGAAAGCGGUAUGCUGGGGAAUUUGGAUUGAAGAAACAAAAUCCUAAACAGACGAAGAAAAGAACUAGAUAUCUUGACAGUGAGAAUUGGAAGAAAUAUACAUUGUCUGAAGAAGAUGCAGUGAAAGAAUUUCAGAUGAAAGCAAAAAGUCCGAAGUAUGAUUCUGCUGCGUUCAAAUGUGGUGAUUGUUAUAAAGGGUUUUCUAAAGAAGACAUGUUGAAAAGGCAUAAACAACUGCGACAUAGUGAGUCACUGGGCCCUCUGGAAUGUCGCUUCUGCCACAUGAGAUUCAAGUGGGACUGCAAGUUGAGAAAGCACAUGCGGCAACAUUUCACAAGAUACGUCUGUCUACUGUGUAACCUGCGAUGUUCCGUGGAAAAUACUGCCAUCAUGCACGAGGAUUACCACAAAGGGGUGAUCAAGAAAUGUAUUCACUGCGGGGAAGAGUUCAAGCACUCAUCAACAUACUACACACAUCUCCGGACACACAGGAGCGAAUAUGUGUGCACUCUGUGCGGUAUGUCCUUCGUAAGUCCCAGUGGGCUGCAUAUGCACAAGAAGAUAAAACAUAUAAAUGAUGAAAUUGAUAGCCCAGACGACGACGAGGAAGUGAACACAUUCUGCGAGAAAUGUGACAUAACUUUCGAAACUAGGAAAGCGUACGAAGAACAUCUAUUUCACUCGGCAAUGCAUACGGAAGGCUUAGAAGAUGAACUGGACGAGUUCUCAGUGCCCAGGAAGGUGCUAGGCAAGAAGUUGCAAGCGAAAAUAACUCAUAGUUUGAAGAAGAAGACGCCUCUGCCUGAGGAGCUGGUGAGGACAGCGAAAAAGAGACGGAAGAAUAAACGACGGUGCCAUAAGAAACCUACUACUUGUCAUCAGUGCGGCAAACACUUCGACACGCAAGCGGCGUGUAUGAAGCACCACUUAGCUGAGCACCCGAGGACGUCGUUCUUCCCUGCGCAUGAGCGGCACAUCUGUGAAAUCUGCGGAGCCUCGCUCGCUCCAGGCAGCGUGGCGAUGCAUCAGAACAUCCACUCUAAGCAGAAGAUGUUCCCAUGCGAGACUUGCGGGAAGACCUUCCACUCCAGCAUCGGCGUGCGACGACAUAUGGUGACCCACACUGGUGAGAAGCCGUUUGCCUGCACGCUAUGCGACAAGCGGUUCACGCAGAGCAACAGCAUGAAGCUGCAUUACAGAACCUUCCAUCUCAAACAGCCGUAUCCAAAGAGAAAUAGAAGAAAAAAGAAGGAUGACAUCCCAACGGCGGAGGACAACAAGACGAGCUCGGAGGAGUCGGAGGCCAGCCUGCCCGACGCUGCGCCGGCGCCGGCCCCGCUGCAAGACGCGCACGACACUAUACACUAUCUCACUCUCAGCUAGAACGGAUGUCCUAGAACACCUCGGACACUUAGUCCGAGUCCUAGAACGCGCGGAUUGUCUAUCUCACUCGCACUUAUGCGGUUACGCAUAGGACACUCCGCGCGUUCCACCAUUGGCCCCACUGGUGGACAACGCAACAGUUCUUAGCGGCUUACGACCAUUUAAGACUGAAGCAUAGAAUAAGGAAUAAUGCUACGUAUAGAAGUUUCCUCGCGAUGUUUUCUUCACCGCUGAGCACGUGAUAAUCAUUUAUGAUCCAAACAUGAAUUCCAAAACAAAUUCGACAAUCAUUGGUUUAGGCCUGUGCUGGAUUCGAACCUGCGACCUCAAAGUGAGAGGCAAGCGUUCUACCAACUGGGCUACCAC